GUAGGUGAACCUGCGGAAGGAUCAUUACCGAGUUCAUGCCCGCAAGGGUAGACCUCCCACCCCUGUAUACCCUACUAUGUUGCUUCCUCGGGCCGCUGUAAAGCUCUGGCAUCUGCUAGGUCGUGCCCGUGAAAGGACCCCCAACCCUGAAUGUUAGUGUCGUCUGAGUACUAUAUAAUAGUUAAAACUUUCAACAACGGAUCUCUUGGUUCUG
This 214-nucleotide unclassified non-coding RNA is filed under the name rhizosphere metagenome. RNAcentral's name for it is "partial ribosomal RNA internal transcribed spacer region". The record is from RNAcentral.